UACGUAGGGGGCAAGCGUUGUCCGGAUUUAUUGGGCGUAAAGAGCGUGUAGGCGGCCAGACAGGUCCGUUGUGAAAACUCGAGGCUCAACCUCGAGAUGUCGAUGGAAACCGUCUGGCUAGAGUCCGGAAGAGGAGUGUGGAAUUCCUGGUGUAGCGGUGAAAUUCGUAGAUAUUGGGAAGAACACCAGUGGCGAAGGCGGCUAACUGGUCCGAUACUGACGCUGAGGUGCGAAAGCGUGGGGAGCAAACAGG
RNAcentral lists this ribosomal RNA (253 nucleotides) under uncultured bacterium. RNAcentral's name for it is "partial 16S ribosomal RNA". It matches the Rfam family "Bacterial small subunit ribosomal RNA", at positions 524 to 776 of the family's 1533-position model. The record is from RNAcentral.